GAUGAACGCUGGCGGCGUGCUUAACACAUGCAAGUCGAGCGAACAGACGAGCUGCGUGCUCCUGUGACGUGAGCGGCGGGUGGGUGAGUAACAGGUGGAUAACCUACCUAUAAGGAUGGGACAACUACGGGAAACCGGAGACAAUAUCGGAUAACAUGUUGAACCGCAGGGAUCAUCAGUCAUAGAGGGUCUUGCGGUCACGUUUGGAGGGUUUCGCGCCGGAUUAGCUAGUUGGUAAGGUAACGGCUUACCAAGGCAACGAUGCGUAGCCGACCUGAGAGGAUGACCAGCCACACUGGAACUGAGACACGGUCCAGACUCCUACGGGAGGCAGCAGUGGGGAAUCUUGGACAAUGGGCGAAAGCCUGACGCAGCAACGCCGCGUGUGUGAAGAAGGCCUUCGGGUCGUAAAACACUGUUAGUGGGGAAGAAAAGGUGUGUGCGAAAAUAUGCGCGUCUUGACGGUACCUGAACAAAAAGCACCGGCUAACUACGUG
Molecule: ribosomal RNA, 497 nt
Filed under: uncultured bacterium
Lineage: Bacteria
Description: partial 16S ribosomal RNA
Rfam family: Bacterial small subunit ribosomal RNA
Source: RNAcentral